UGAGGAAUAUUGGACAAUGGGCGCAAGCCUGAUCCAGCCAUGCCGCGUGCAGGAAGAAGCAUCUAUGGUGUGUAAACUGCUUUUGUACGGGAAGAAACACUCCUUCGUGAAGGAGCUUGCCGGUACCGUAAGAAUAAGGAUCGGCUCACCCCGUGCCAGCAGCCGCGGUAAUACGGAGGAUCCAAGCGUUAUCCGGUAUCAUUGGGUUUAAAGGGUCCGUAGGCGGGUUAGUAAGUCAGUGGUGAAAGCCCAUCGCUCAACGAUGGAACGGCCAUUGAUACUGUUCGACUUGAAUUACAAGGAAGUAACUAGAAUAUGUAGUGUAGAGGUGAGAUACUUAGAUAUUACAUGGAAUACCAGUUGCGAAGACGGGUUACUACUUGUGGAUUGACGCGGAUGGACGCAAGCGUGGGGGGCGAACA
Molecule: ribosomal RNA, 422 nt
Filed under: uncultured bacterium
Lineage: Bacteria
Description: bacterial SSU rRNA
Rfam family: Bacterial small subunit ribosomal RNA
Source: RNAcentral